UACGUAGGGGGCAAGCGUUGUCCGGAUUCAUUGGGCGUAAAGAGCGUGUAGGCGGCCAGGUAGGUCGGUUGUGAAAACUGGAGGCUCAACCUUCAGAGGUCGACCGAAACCAUCUGGCUAGAGUCCGGGAGAGGAGAGUGGAAUUCCCAGUGUAGCGGUGAAAUGCGUAGAUAUUGGGAGGAGCACCAGUGGCGAAGGCGGCUCACUGGACCGGAACUGACGCUGAGGCGCGAAAGCGUGGGGAGCAAACGGG
This 253-nucleotide ribosomal RNA is filed under the name uncultured bacterium. RNAcentral's name for it is "partial 16S ribosomal RNA". It matches the Rfam family "Bacterial small subunit ribosomal RNA", at positions 524 to 776 of the family's 1533-position model. The record is from RNAcentral.